GAGUUUGAUCUUGGCUCAGAUUGAACGCUGGCGGCAGGCCUAACACAUGCAAGUCGAGCGGCAGCGGGAAAGUAGCUUGCUACUUUUGCCGGCGAGCGGCGGACGGGUGAGUAAUGCCUGGGAAAUUGCCCAGUCGAGGGGGAUAACAGUUGGAAACGACUGCUAAUACCGCAUACGCCCUACGGGGAAAGCAGGGGACCUUCGGGCCUUGCGCGAUUGGAUAUGCCCAGGUGGGAUUAGCUAGUUGGUGAGGUAAUGGCUCACCAAGGCGACGAUCCCUAGCUGGUCUGAGAGGAUGAUCAGCCACACUGGAACUGAGACACGGUCCAGACUCCUACGGGAGGCAGCAGUGGGGAAUAUUGCACAAUGGGGGAAACCCUGAUGCAGCCAUGCCGCGUGUGUGAAGAAGGCC
This 412-nucleotide ribosomal RNA is filed under the name uncultured Gammaproteobacteria bacterium. RNAcentral's name for it is "bacterial SSU rRNA". It matches the Rfam family "Bacterial small subunit ribosomal RNA", at positions 9 to 416 of the family's 1533-position model. Lineage: Bacteria; Pseudomonadati; Pseudomonadota; Gammaproteobacteria. The record is from RNAcentral.